CACGUAGUUAGCCGUGGCUUUCUGAUCAGGUACCGUCAAGACGUGCACAGUUACUUACACGUUUGUUCUUCCCUGAUAACAGAGUUUUACGAUCCGAAGACCUUCAUCACUCACGCGGCGUUGCUCCGUCAGGCUUUCGCCCAUUGCGGAAGAUUCCCUACUGCUGCCUCCCGUAGGAGUCUGGACCGUGUCUCAGUUCCAGUGUGGCCGAUCACCCUCUCAGGUCGGCUACGUAUCGUUGCCUUGGUAAGCCGUUACCUUACCAACUAGCUAAUACGGCGCGGAUCCAUCUAUAAGUGACAGCAAGGCCGUCUUUCACUAUUGAACCAUGCGGUUCAAAAUCUUAUCCGGUAUUAGCUCCGGUUUCCCGAAGUUAUCCCAGUCUUAUAGGUAGGUUAUCCACGUGUUACUCACCCGUCCGCCGCUAACGUCAAAGGAGCAAGCUCCUUAUCUGUUCGCUCGACUUGCAUGUAUUAGGCACGCCGCCAGCGUUCAUCCUGAGCCAGGAUA
RNAcentral lists this ribosomal RNA (510 nucleotides) under uncultured Staphylococcus sp. RNAcentral's name for it is "partial 16S ribosomal RNA". The record is from RNAcentral. Lineage: Bacteria; Bacillati; Bacillota; Bacilli; Caryophanales; Staphylococcaceae.